This 525-nucleotide ribosomal RNA is filed under the name Cutia nipalensis (cutia). Its description in RNAcentral is "partial 16S ribosomal RNA". It matches the Rfam family "Bacterial large subunit ribosomal RNA", at positions 1843 to 2576 of the family's 2925-position model. Lineage: Eukaryota; Metazoa; Chordata; Aves; Passeriformes; Leiothrichidae. The record is from RNAcentral.
GUAUUGAAGGUGAUGCCUGCCCGGUGAUCUGACUAAACGGCCGCGGUAUCCUAACCGUGCGAAGGUAGCGCAAUCAAUUGUCCCGUAAAUCGGGACACGUAUGAAUGGCUAAACGAGGUUCUAACUGUCUCUUACAGGCAAUCAGUGAAAUUGAUCUCCCUGUGCAAAAGCAGGGAUAAACACAUAAGACGAGAAGACCCUGUGGAACUUCAAAAUCAGCAGCCACCCCAAAUGACAUAUCAACCCACCCGGGCUCACUCACCUAACGGGCUACUGGCAUGCAAUUUUUCGGUUGGGGCGACCUUGGAGCAAAACAAAACCUCCAAAAAUUAGACCUAAAAUCUAGACUGAGAGCAACCCCUCAACGUGCUAAUAGCAACCAGAUCCAAUAUAAUUGAUCAAUGGACCAAGCUACCCCAGGGAUAACAGCGCAAUCUCCUCCAAGAGUCCAUAUCGACGGGGAGGUUUACGACCUCGAUGUUGGAUCAGGACAUCCUAGUGGUGCAGCCGCUACUAAGGGCUCGU